GAUGAACGCUGGCGGCGUGCUUAACACAUGCAAGUCGAACGGAAAGGCCCAAGCUUGCUUGGGUACUCGAGUGGCGAACGGGUGAGUAACACGUGGGUGAUCUGCCCUGCACUUCGGGAUAAGCCUGGGAAACUGGGUCUAAUACUGGAUAGGACCACUUCUUGGAUGUUGUGGUGGAAAGUUUUUUCGGUGUGGGAUGAGCUCGCGGCCUAUCAGCUUGUUGGUGGGGUAAUGGCCUACCAAGGCGUCGACGGGUAGCCGGCCUGAGAGGGUGUACGGCCACAUUGGGACUGAGAUACGGCCCAGACUCCUACGGGAGGCAGCAGUGGGGAAUAUUGCACAAUGGGCGCAAGCCUGAUGCAGCGACGCCGCGUGGGGGAUGACGGCCUUCGGGUUGGAAACUCCGUUCGCUAGGGACGAAGCGUUUUGUGACGGUACCUGGAGAAGAAGCACCGGCUAACUACGUG
This 467-nucleotide ribosomal RNA is filed under the name uncultured bacterium. RNAcentral describes it as "partial 16S ribosomal RNA". It matches the Rfam family "Bacterial small subunit ribosomal RNA", at positions 28 to 507 of the family's 1533-position model. The record is from RNAcentral.